This 74-nucleotide transfer RNA is filed under the name Pteropus alecto (black flying fox). It matches the Rfam family "tRNA". From Rfam's summary of the family: Transfer RNA (tRNA) molecules are approximately 80 nucleotides in length. Their secondary structure includes four short double-helical elements and three loops (D, anti-codon, and T loops). Lineage: Eukaryota; Metazoa; Chordata; Mammalia; Chiroptera; Pteropodidae. The record is from Rfam by way of RNAcentral.
GGCUCCGUAGUGUAGUGGUUAGCACGUCUGCUUUACACCUAGAAGGGCCUGGAUUCACACCCUAGCUGGAGCCA